This is an RNA transcript of Xiphias gladius (swordfish), 4264 nucleotides long. It is a transcript of the gene named BCL2 interacting protein 3 like b, with no coding region annotated. The transcript is spliced from 6 exons. Lineage: Eukaryota; Metazoa; Chordata; Actinopteri; Istiophoriformes; Xiphiidae. The record is from RefSeq and is a predicted model, not a curated record.
AAAUUGCGUGCACCUGGCAUUCCAGGUGUAGAUCCAGCUGUGAAUCUGUACCUGUUCUGACCGACGAAUAUAAUGAAAACCGACCGCUCUCUGGUACUCGAUGAACCACCGAAGGUUAAUAGGAAUCAGCUGACUUGGUGUCUGGUUGUUGAGAACUAAUCCUGGGCACACAUUUCCCUCGUGGUUCGACUGGUGUGUACCUAUGUACGUGUGUGCAGGCACGCCGCCUCCGGCAUGGGCGAAUUGAGCAGGCACCAAUCUAAACCUAGAUGCCGUAUUCUUCGAAUUUCCACUCUCAGUCAAUAACUGAUGCCAUUAGUGCAUGCACGCCGCCGCCUAUGCGGGUCGUUUUGUUUUUUGUGUGUUUGUGCUGUGUUUUUAUUUUUCCUUUUUGAGCUCGUUAUGUAAUUCGAGUCCCGCUCUCCCUUUUGUUGUCAACCGGACGGUUUGACGUCAUCACCCAGCUCCGGGAAGGGCUGAGCGGCUCGCGGCUGCUGCCUCCAGACCAGCUAACGGACGAAAACAAACGGCAGCGGCGCUUUAGCUUAGCUGCCCGCUCACCGAAGAAACGGGGCAGAAGGCGACACGGGUCAUUUGUACUGUCGCACGUCUUGAUGUGUGCAGAUAAGGUAGGGCGCGUUCUGAACUGAGCCUUUUAUGCAACUCGCCCUGCUCACCAGGCACGACGAUGUCCGACGCUGCUAGCACUACUUCUACAGACAACAACGGAGACUCCGGGCUAAACGGGUCCUGGGUGGAGUUGGAGAUGAACAGAGGUGCAGCUGGCUCAGCCCAGUCAUCUUCCACAGGCGGCCCGGCCCCAGGCCUACUGCCCCUCCCUCAGGUGGAGGAAGAGGAGGCCAUGGUGGGGGGCCUUGAGCACGUCCCGUCCUCGUCCUCGAUCCACAAUGGAGACAUGGAGAAGAUCCUGUUGGAUGCCCAGCACGAGUCGAGCCGCAGCAACUCCUCCUGCGACAGCCCUCCGCGGCCCCACAGUCCCCAAGAUGAUGGACAGAUCAUCUUCGAUGUAGACGUGACCAGCAGAAGAGACAGCCAGUCAGAAGAGGACAUCUUGGACAAAGAGAGGGACAUGGACAUCCUAAUGAAGGACGCAGAUUGGGUUGCUGACUGGUCUAGUCGACCGGAAAACAUUCCCCCCAAGGAGUUUCAUUUCCGUCACCCCCGACGCUCAGUAACGCUCAGCAUGAGGAAGACCGGGGCCAUGAAGAAAGGAGGCAUCUUCUCCGCUGAGUUCCUCAAAGUCUUCAUCCCCUCGCUGCUAUUAUCACACAUCCUCGCUCUGGGGCUGGGGUAAGAAACCAACACCACAGAUCACCUGCACAGUCAUGAUGUCACUGAGUGAGAAAAGAGUCUAUAUCGGCAAGAGGUUGACCACCCCACCAGCCAGCUCUUUCUGAAGCCGAGACUGAAGAAAAGUGCCUGAGAAGUGGCCAUGAGUUGUUGGAGAAAGUUUAGCUGUCGUGAGAAGAACGAACGCCCGUCCCUCUCCCUCUGCCUGCCCCUGCUCCCGCUCCUCGUCCCUGAGAUAUGACAUGUUCUCGGGAGGAAUGCAUAUGCCUUUUCCUCUUCCCCCCCUACCUUCCCCACCCUUUUUUCUUGAUUGGCUGUUCUGACUAUCUGUGGAUUACCCCCCUCCCAUAUCCUUCACUCAUUUGUAUAAGCUUUUCAAAGAAUGAAUAAGGUCAUAUUUCCCUUUCCUCAGCGAUUGUGUUGCAAUGUUUGUAAUGGGUGGGUUUUCAGGGAGGGUCGCAGCAUUAAACCAAACUCUUCUACCACACACACUGCCCCGUUGCCCUUUGAUCAUCUGACAACAAGGGAGGACUGUCCAGUUUUAGAACUGACCACGGAUUGUGCCACCUACACGCGUAGCCCAACACUCGACCCUGAAAGGGUUCGACCAAAUUCAGAGUUGGCUACGCGAACUGAAAAUGUGAUCAUGCCUUUUUGAAAGUAGCCAUUUUGUUCAUUUUCUUUUAGGUAGUAUUGCCUUUUUUCUUUUUAAAAAAAAAUUAUUUCACAACAGUGGUGGUUUAUUGAGAAGUGGUAAUGAAAGGCGUUACCAUAGUGGCCAUCCCAAACCACACGCGCUCAUGAAUUGCACUGGGGGAGUCUCUGACUGUCUGCCAGAAAAGAGAGAUUUAUGUGACACUUUUUCACCUUUUCUGUGAUGGAAAGUAGAAAUUAGAAUCAUUAUAAUUCUGUAGCUGAAUGAAUAUUUUGCAAAGUGACAAUAACUGGAAACCAGGGUGCAGAUGUGUGUUGCGCAGGCAGGCAGUGUGUCCCUCUACGUGUGUACACUAACAGUAUUUUGUGGUUGGGUCUUGGGUACAGCGCUGUAUGGUCCAGAAAGGUUCCAUUGUCUGUCCAAACUGCCUGUGUCCAUGUUGUCCUUCCAAUGAGCCUCAUGGUCUGUCUGCAACAUAUCGUAGACCUGGUUCGAUCCCGCUUACUUUCACUCCAGACUGGGCUGGAUAUUACAUGGGACUGUGCUGAUUGUUUCCUUUUAGUGUGGAUUUUAAGUAAUCAGGAAGGAUUUGGUACCAAAAAGGUUGAAAACAUGAGAGAUAAAUAGGUACGGACAUUUGUUUUGAUAAUGUUUGGCUGAUUUUAUUUACAAAGGUAAAAGGUGUUUUCAUAAAAAACUAGAAGUUAAAUAUUGCACUUUUACUGACUAUUAUACAAGAAAUUUAAUUUUCAAGACAUUAGGAUAAUUAUUAUUAGAGCUAUUCAUUAUUGAGGUAAAACUGUCCAGUAGUAGCCAGCCCUGUGUCCUAACACUCCAUCACGUUUGCCAAAAUUUCAAAAAAAAACAGGGAGAAAUAAUUAUUCAAGCUGCUGAUGAAUGGAACUGACUCCAGGGUCGCUCUGAGUUUGGACAGGCUGAAGGUACCUGGUGGUCAUCGUACAUUUGUUUGUUUUCCUCGAAAAACUCUAAGCACAGGCACUUGGCUAGCAUGUUCAGUAAGGUUGUGUCCUUACACAGCAUGAUUACAAAGCUUGAUAUCAGACAUCAGCUUCACUGCAGUAUCUCUGAGGUUGGACUGUGGUCGAUUUUGUACAGAGGGCCCUUUCGUAGCCAGACCUGGUCCAAAUAAUAUUUGAUGUAGAAGUUCAGAUCUUUUCAAACAGCAGAUCUCUAGAAGUUCUUGCAUGACAUAUGAUUUUUUUUGCAGCAGACUUAUUACUUGCACAACUAACAAAUUUCUGGAGAUCUGUUGUGCCGUGAGACAGCAGGAUUUGUCCCACCAGCACCCUGUGAAGGAAGUAUUUUCAUACAAUCAGGAGUAAUUAAACUCUUUAGAGCAACUGUAGUUGUUCAUUUUUUCCUCUAAACAGCUCAUUGCAGAAUAGAGUACAAGUUGUGACAUACAGAACAAUACAAUGAGUGUCAGAGUUACAUGGAACCUGCAACAUCGUAUUUUUGACACUGAAAGUCAAGGACACUGUCGACGACAAAAAUGGACGUUGCCUUGGUCCCUUUUCAAGAAAUUUCACUGUCAAGUGUCAUUGAGCAAGAAAAGAAUAGACAAAGAGCUUUAAUAAAGCAAACAAAAGAAGUAACCUCUGUCUGCGUAGAGAGAAUUUUUAGUUUGUUGUGAGUACUUCAUCAGUCCGUCGUUUGUUGACCGUACUUACAAGCUAAAGAUGGGAAAGUAUCUGUAAAAACUGAGUUUACUGUACUUUUCCUCUCGUCGACAGCUGCCUGAUUCAUUAACAGAAAUACUUUGUGACCUCGCAGGUUGACUCAGGGCGCUGUCUUCUUUUUUAACGUCUUAUAACAGAAUAAUUAACUACCAGCAGUGACCACAUUAGGGAGUUGACUUUGCUCUCAUUGUCUCCAUUUCAGCCACAGAGAUACUGCACUGUUAUUUUGUGCGACGUCCAUGUUUCUGCCCAUGUUUGUAUGUGCAGCAUUAGAAAUUGUGGAUUGUUCCUUGCUGUCUGUUUUUGUUUUUAAUUUUUUUCUGAUGUUGGUGGAAGAUUGUGAACGCACAGAGCGGGAGUGAAGACAUGGAUCGUGUUUAAAAAGUGUGAAAAUAAAACCGUGUUGUUGAUGGCAGGGCCUGAUGUGCAUAGGAAAUGGAAGGUGUGAAAAGAGAUUCCCCCUAGACUGCGAUGGUCUAACAUUAGUUAUUGUAAUGAUGCAUUUGCUUUAAUUUUCUUUUUCCCACUACAUUUGGAAAAAUUGAUAAAGAUUUUGUCAUUAAACAUUACCUGAAUGAAGCUAUUCUGUGUGCACGUU